Equus caballus (horse) is the source of this 1902-nucleotide long non-coding RNA. Lineage: Eukaryota; Metazoa; Chordata; Mammalia; Perissodactyla; Equidae. The record is from Ensembl.
CGGGGGUAUAAUCCUAGGAGGUGCCUGAAUUCACGUCAUUUUCAGCUCAUUGACUUUCUUAUUCAUUGCUUCUCAUCUGACCUGGGAGCACCAGACCACAGUUAUCCUCUUUCACCUCCUCUGUUUUUCACGUCAGUUCUCCUCCCACAUUGGCUGCUGUGGGCUCAGAGCCAGCACUACUUCUUGCCAAGUCGGGGAGUGAUAAAGUGAUAGAAAGUGGAGAGACAUGCACUAAAGAGAAUACCAAGAGACUGAGACCCUUCUAAAACUCCAGACUCCAAGCCCAUUUUAGGAAAUUAUCAAUUGAGAUUGCAUCAUGGAAUGAAAAAAGCAGAGCUGCAAAGAAGGAGCACACAUGACAGGUUUUAUGGUGGGUGAGUAGGCAGAAGUGUUACCGACAAAGCACUGCUCACGGGAGAGGGUGGGGCCUACGUCAUGGACCACAAGUGGUAGUACUAUUCAUUUGGUUCUGCAAAUGCUCUGCCUUCCCGCAUCACCUUCACAUAUAUUAUCCUCCACCCUCUCCCCACCCUUCACUGAAUAAUGCUCAUGCUUCCAGGCUCAAAGUAAACAUCUCUUCAAGGAGGCUUUCCUGGGCCCGGUCUGGGUUUGCACCUACCGGCACCCACAGCACCCUGAACAUCUUCUAUUGAGCAUACUUGUCCACUAUCUGUCUUCCCAGCUAGAAUGUAAGCAACAAGAAGUCAUCAACUUUAUCUUGCUCGCUGGCUAAUGUAUCCGCAGCACCUUUAUGGUGUCUGGCACAUUUGUUAAAGGCAGAGCCAGGUGCUGGCCAAUAUAAAGACGGAGAGGAAGAAGAGAAAAGUGAGAAGACAUGCACUUGAACUUAAAACGCCUGACAUUUUGCCACAGAAUCACUCUGAGUGGUGCAACUGGGAGGAGUGAGGACAUGUAGAGCAGGCAAUUGAAAGGAAUUGAGAAGAAAGACUCCAACACAAAAGAAAGGCAUGGGGAAGCAAAUCAAUGUAAAGAGUAACAAGCACAGGUGUUUGCCCUGAGAGCCCAUAGCUAGGCCAAGCCUUCCGCAGACGAAUGAAACCAGGCUGAGAACGAGCCAUUUCUCCCAAACUGCCUCUUGUUUGCUGCCUUUUGCUAGAAAGAGAUGGGGAACCCCUGCUCUCUACAGAUGACUAACCAGGGAGCAGUCUGCGGAAUACAGUGAUGACCUGCUGAGAGGAAGAGGGAGGGAAGGAGAGUUUCCACCAGGAUGUUCGAGAGACUCGCCCAAGUUCUCACAGCUGGUCAGCGGUAAAGCGGUUUUUCCGGCUCCUGUUCAGUGAGUCUUUCCAUUACUCGCUGCGAACGCAACAAGCCAAGGGGACAAGUUCCAGUUUUUAUCCCUGAAAGAGAACUCUUCCUCCCAGGUUUAACCUGGGUUUAGCCUGUCUUCCACUCGGGCCUGGCUGUAGGGAGAAACAGUCGUCUUAGAGUUUGAUUCGUGACUUCUCUUCUUGCCAGCCAAGUGACUUAGCAGCUGUGUGAUUUUGCACGUGAUUUCUCUGAAUAUUCCCUUCCAAGUGCAUAAAGCAUAGAUAAUGUUACCUAAGUUUCAGAGCUGUUGUAAUGAUUAAGAAUAGCAGUAAAUAUCUACUGUUUUCCACACCCUAGGCUCAGUUCAAAGCGCCUUGUGUGCAUUGAUUCAUUGAAUUCUCAAACACUUCUAUGUAAUUUCACAUACGCUAUGUCAUUUUAUUUUACAGAUGAAGAAACAAUGGCAGAGAGGUAAAGGAAAUUAUCCCAGGUCAGACCGCAAACAAAUAGAGCCAGAAUUCCAAGCCAGGCGCCUGACACCAGAGCCAAGUGCUUAAUCUCUAAGUAUACUGACUAUGCAAGUUAUGUUUCCUGUCUACAAUAGGUACUCAAUCAAUAGCUGUUACCUGG